Pelmatolapia mariae (spotted tilapia) is the source of this 5289-nucleotide long non-coding RNA. RefSeq lists it as uncharacterized. The transcript is spliced from 4 exons. NCBI's taxonomy places the organism in Eukaryota, Metazoa, Chordata, Actinopteri, Cichliformes, Cichlidae. The record is from RefSeq and is a predicted model, not a curated record.
ACCUGAGGCUGAUUCUGGGUAAUCAGGUUGAGGAUUUAAGCUCCACUCAAACUCUCCUUCGCUGCCAGUUCGUCAACGGUCUCACGUUGGUUUCGGCUCUAAGGUUUUUUUUCCCCACGCGCUUGCUAUUGGUUUUGUCGUUUAUUCUGAUUUCCUGUGCUACAAUUUUCCUGGACCUUCUUUGCCACUGCCUUCAACCCCAGCUCGCCCCGGAUUAUCCUUGCAUUCUGGAACAAUACAAAGGACCUCACCUGCCUGCCCUCCGGCCACCUAUCACCACCUCGGACACAGCGGAACUCAGGUCAGCCAGCCUUUGCAACUACUCACCUGGAUUCUCACCGCCUCUCCCUCAAAGCCAAGUUCACCCUAAUUAUCCGAUAGCUUGUCUCCUGAGGGCCAAACAAGGUAAGAGAGAAAGCAACUCGAGCCUAAACAUACAAAUAAAGGGAGCACACGCAGGUAAAAAUCCGGUAUAGCAAGGUUAGUAAAUGCCAAUCAAAUCAAUACUAGAGAAUAGAGAAAUAAGAAGGCAGCAAAAGGUUCCCAGGCCCAGCUGCCAAUAAAUCUUUGUUCUGCUUUGUUUAUUUGGCUUUGUCAAGUCAUUAGACAGCUUUCUAGAUAGGCUCAUCGGUAAGCGGCUAAAUAGAGGGAGGGAGUAACAGUGCAUGUGUGUCUGACAAAUAGAGAGGGAUAUUUGUGUGUGUCAUAUGUCAGGGUCACCAUUGGUGCCAAUCCAGGUCCUGCAACUUACUGACCCAGAAAUGAAUGACACUAGCACUAAAAGGCUAUCAGCAAACUGCACUCAGUCAUUUGCCAUCAUUGCGAACGACUGCCUGCAUGAUGGUUUAAAUUACCUAAUGGAUGAAAAUGAGAACUCAGGAUGGUCGAGAGAAAGGGAUAGGACGAGGAGAGGGAAGACAGACAAAGAGAGGGGUGAUGCUGGCGGGGUUUGAAACAGCAGCACCAGGAGAGCUGUUAGGCACCGAGGAAAAAAAGAAGAGUCAGCAGACCAGAGAAGCUGUAAAUGAGGGAGUAAUGAAGCCAUGCAGGUGGGGGCAGGUGAUCUAUAAUAAAUGAAGGUGAGAGGGGAGGAGACAAGAGGCUGUUAGCUGGGCUUUGCUUAGCCUAUUAUAAACAGACAGCCAAUCAGAGACUCUCUGACUGACCCUGAUGGAAGGCAGGGAGCAAGAAAGGUUUGGUUUGAUGUUUAAUGAUGUUGCCAGUAUAGGCAUAACACAAAGAAUGCAUGUGCUUUUUUGCAGCCAGAAUCUAGCAUUUUCCUGCUAAUGUAUUUUAUCAGUAUCUGUUUUUGUAGGGUCAUGGCAGGGAGGACAUAAUAAAGGCAAAGUGUCAACAUACUAAAAUCAAUAAGAACUGGGAUUAAAAACCAUUAUGUACAGUUUCAAAUUUCACUGCAGGGUUAAAACAAACAUAUCUGAGCCAUCCUACACAGGUUUUAUUUUUACUGACCUUGUAUAUUACUCAAUUUUUGUUUGUUCAAUAUCUGCUUUUGUCUCUUUACUAACAGCUGGCAUUGCUGGCUAUAGUAAAAAUACAGUAAACACAAAGUGUAUAAGCCCUAUCAGUUUACAACUCAAAUCCAAAAAAAUCAGAUUAAACAUAGCAGCAUGUGGUCCAUGAAGACUGCCCCUUCAGCAUUAAACCUGCAAAUAUCAUAACCAGCAGGGGCCAACUCCUCUGCUUGCAAAAAUACGUCGACUUGUAUAGAAACCUAUGAGCAAAGGCCCUACUUUUCUUCUACUUCUUGAUUUAUUACCUCAGUAAACAUUUUCCUAAUGAGUUUAUGGUCUCAGUUGGUAAUUUCAAGCCUUCUUCAUUACAGGAUAUUUUUUAUUCUAUAAAUAAUGGUCACACUGAGGGUAAAAUAGACGAUAUAGAAGGGUAUGCUUUGUCCUCCAUCUGUUUCUGGGUUCCCAUCAGACCUAUUCCUUGCUGUUUUUCUUCUUCAAAAAAAUCAAGAUACUGAGAUUAAAUCUAAAGAAACCUAAGCUUUAAAACUGAAGUACACAGACCAACGGGUGAGGUCACAGUGACUACAUUCACCUUUUAUCUCCCCGUCCCAUAUGAAUCAGACAACUCAGUGGAGUGGACUGAUUCAAAUGUCUGGACCCAGGCAACAUGCCAUCCAUGUGCACGACAUACUGAAAUAUUCUUUUCUAGUGUCUGUUUCAUGAUAUCAGCUUUUGGUAUAGCUGUUUUAGUUUUGGCCCUUGGGAUUGUCUUGUCACACAGAUAUGGUCAUGGAGGUCGCGAAUGACAAUUGCGCAAUGUAUCGACUUUGAGUGUGUUCCUGUAUGUUAUGUUCAUGAAAUAGGCUUUUAUAAGAAGGACAUCAUGACCAUGAGAUAUUAAGUUAAAAUGCCUUUGCCUGGAGGCCAGAAUCAGGCAGUAAGGCUAAACUUUUAACUGUGGACUGGACCUUCGUCUCGUUUCCUGUUUUUUCUCCUUAUGUUCAGCACUGUAAUUUCUUUUGCCUUUAGUAUUUAUAGAGUUCUGUUUUCAUGUUUAGACUUUGUUUAAAUUGGAUUUACUUCAGCAUUAAAGCUUUUUUGUUUAAGUCAAUCAGCCUUUAACUUCCUCCAUUUGCGUCCUAACCUUUUUUUGACAGUUGUGAAUUAUGGAAAUGUUAUGUUUUGGGAUGUUUCAUCAGCAAACCAGUUUACCAGAUUUGUUUUUGUCAAAUUCAAAAAGUAAGGCAUGUGAACUCCAUUUGAACAGCAUUAUUUGUGAAAUCAUAUUUUAGCUGUGUUUCUACCGCCAGCCCUUCUCCAAUCUGCUGACAGUUCUCCCCCUUCUGAUCAAAGGAGUGUGAUCAAAGAAAAUCACAUCGUGUAUAUAAAUAUUAUACUACAAAUAAAAUUAACUCAAACACGAGACACUGCCAUACAGAUUUUCUUCAUAUUUUGCAUUACAGUGGGGUGAGCUGAUAUUAUUCUAAACCUUUGUCAAUGAGGCCUAACAGCAUAUUGAUGAUGCAUAAUUGUAACAUUUCCAUUAAAACAAAAUGAUCAAGAAUGCAUUUCCCUCAUCAUGUGAGUGCUUCUAAGUAAAAGGCUCAGUCAAGUGUGGCCAAAACUCUGUUUUCUUUACUGACAUUCUGGCACACUGCUUCAGAAACAAUUUCAAACAACUGCAUGAUUUGACCAAAGACUGUAUCCUGGGACCGAAUUACAAACUUAUAUGGGAGCCACUAAGCUUCAACAGCACCAUCAGCACUGAUACCAGUGACUUUUUCUUCUCUAGAGAACACAAUAUCUUUAGUCUUCUUCAUUUCUUUGUACAUCUAGAACCUAUGCUAUCACUUCCUCUUGAAAAGGUGCCAUGUCAUCCAAGCAAGCAACCAAAAAGGGAGCAGAACUUCUGCACUGCCGACAUGCUGUACGGUUUUGAAAACUGACUGACUGACUGUAGAGAUGACUGUUUGGUGAAAAAGCCUGAAGUAAAUGUGUCUGCCAUGGUCCAGAAGGCUGAGAUGAAACACAAGCUUUAAAUCCAGGGAGCAUGCACAAAAACAGUAGCCUUUCUUCACCAGCUCAUCAUUAUUUGCAAUCACUGUAGUGUGUGACUUCUACAAAUCGCAAGUGUCAGUGCAGGGAACCAGAGAGACGAUGCCUCCAACUGUUUUUUCACUGCAGAAGUCUCAUCUACGGACACUCCAGUGUCUCUGAUGAGGUGGAGGGCAGGAAAGCGAUGACAGAAACAAUCUGAUAAACGGCUGAGAGCUCAUUCAGUCCAGGGGGGCCUUUAAAGAGUUGCCAGUCAACAGGGAAGCAGUACUAUCUGUGAAGCUCGGCUACUGGACAGCAAACACACACCGCGUAGAGGCCCAGCAGUGAUCUGUCUGCUGAAGCGUUUCCAAACGCCUCUCUCAGUCUGCCACUCUGCAUAAUCAAGCCUCCAAACACAGCAUGCCGUUCCGGCUCCCUUGGCUUGGCUUUAUCUGAAAAGACAGCAUGUGUAGAUAGACCAGCGCAGAGAACAAUUUGUACAAUUGGUGGCAAGAAAAUGAGUGUAUAUAUUUCAGCCUAAAGGCCUGGUGUCCACCUGCAGGGUCCCUCAUGUAUUUGGAAUAUUGAGGCACUUGGUUCUUUUCAUCUCGUCACUUCACAAUCUCUAAUUAUCUCGUGCAUAUCAUUUAACUCCAGCCCUCUUUUUACACUUUUCUUGCAUGACACCUUUUUUUCUUUUCUCCAACCUCCUGCAAUUCCUGCUGCUAAUUUAAGCAUGUUGAGUGCCUUACAUUGUACUACAUAAAUUCCCUAAUAGCCACACUGCCAACCACAAAAUGUUAUAUAUCUGUGAUGUGAUGGCUACUUGAAUAGUGAAAAAUAAACAAUCAACUAUGUCAUAAACCAUCAAGAAUUUCACAUACUCAUCUACCUUAACUUAUAAAAAACUUUAUACAGCAGCAGAACUACUCUUAUAUUAGGCAUCCUCAGCUGCAUUUUAUCUAGAACCAAAUAAUCUUGCUCCACUAGUUUCCAUAGAAAGAGGCAGGCAUAAUAAUCACAGCCUCUGAUGCAUAUUUUAGCAUGGAAAAGCACGCCGGGGGCAAUAUGAAUUUGCUUCUUUUUCAUGUUGAUCUUUCUCUUGUCUUCUGGAGUCAAAUGAAACAAAAGAGCAGCCAAGCUGCUGUUUAGUGCCUUCAUUAUGGUGAUGUCGUAAAAGAAACUGUGAUCGUGUUGCUACAGUAAUGUAUAAUGUCAGCUAUCAUAUACAUCUGUGUAAAUGUUGAAUUUUAAAAGCUAAAACAUUUGCUCACAUUUGUUUUGCAAAAACAAAUCAUGUAAUUUCUAAGCAUUCAUACGGGUUAAUGAUUCAAACAGAAUCAUGAGACUAUGAACUGCUUGGAUGUGUGUUAAAACGGUUUCAGGGGAAAUUUGCAACAAUUUUGCUGACUUUCAGAUACAACUGUCUGUUCGAGACAUUUCUCAUAAAGCUGACUGUUCUGGAUUUCAACAGUAUUACCUGUCAUUGUCUAUCAGCUCCCAAUAUGAUGUCUUACUUUUACUUUCAGUAUUGAAAUAAAACUCAACUUAAAAUAAACCAUCUGAACAGGGACAUUUUCCAUAACUCAUUUUGUUCAAGUUACUGCCUUGCAUCCUAGGUAUGUGUUUGUGCCAGCAGAUGGAGAAAGCCUACUGGUGGUGUCUACCAAGAUCUGUAUUUAAAUAAUGGACUGAGCUGAGCAGCAUUUGUGUCCAUAUGGUUGCCUCCAGUUCCUCUGUAAUGAUCUUGCUGAAGAAUAAAUAUCAGGAUUUGCAGACA